UGUUGUUGGCAGUUGUCAGUCGCUUGCUAGUAGGGGGUUUCUAAUAAAAUUCGUUGUUCAAAAUAAACCCACAAUUAGAUACCAACUACAAUACAUAGCAUUUUCAUUAGCUAAUUUAAUUUUCUACCAUUUGCCAUCAAUUUUGGCAAAAUUCAGCAACAACCAACUUUUUUCCUUGCCAUAUAUUUCACAUGUGUUAUUAUAUAUACUUCUAAUUUCUAACAUUCUUAUGCAUUAUAUUAUAUGUUGUACACUGUGUUUUCAUCUUUGUACGGUGGUUUCUUGAAACUGUGGGGUGGUUUCCUGGUUUCCUUUCUAACAUUCUUAGGCGUUAUUGGUUGAUUUUUGCUCUUUCUUUGACAGCCUGGUUGCAAACCCCUCUUUCUCUCUCUAAAACGUUUGGCCUCCCAUCUAUCUUUCUCUCUCUAAAAUGCUUGGCAACUAUACAUCGCCGCCGGAUCCAUUUGGCGUAGAUCUGUUGUCAUCUGUGAUACAAAGGGGAUUGUGUGGUGUUAGAGAGAGAAAUGGAGCGGUGGGUAUUGCACCGCCAUUGCCGGAGGCUCCGGCUUCAGGUCGGUGUUUUGGUUUUUAUUUUUCUUUGCAUUGUGUGGUUUAAUGUUGGGUUACUCUUUGGUUUUGUUGUUACCACCGCUGGUAUUGUUGAUUCACCGCCGGCGAUGAUUGGGGCCUUCCUAUUGGCAUGGCAACUCCGAUUGCAGCCUAGGCGGUACUGAGCCGUCAAGACGAUGACGAUCUAUUAGAUCCGAGUCUAUUGGUUUAGUUAUUUCUUUUUUUUAUUGAUGUUGGUGGCUGUUCUUCGUAGUAGGAUGAAGGCGAUGAUGAUUAUUUUUUUGUUGUCUGAGUAAAUCAGUCAAAGUUAAAAAUUUGUCGCAUCUUGGCGUGGCAUUUUCCGUUGGAAAUCGAAUGAUUUUUUGGUUUCUGCCGAGAAGGAAGCAGCCAUGGCAGUUUAGUUCCUCUUAAUUUGUUCUAAUAUAUUUAGUGAUCUGAGCCUAUUUUUUUAAAGAUUUUCUUUUAAAGUGUUUAUUUAUAGAUCUAUUGGCUUACACGUGUUUAGGUUUGAAGUUGGUAAAGUAGUAUAGAAAGAGAUAGAGAGAUCAGAUUGGGAAUUGAAGACGAAAUUGUUUGGUGAUGAUGGGUGUUGUGGUUAUGGUGAGGAACAUGUUGGGCAAAUGAAUUAACCCGACCCUUGUAAAAAGUUGAACUCUAUUGUGUUGUGAUUUUAGGUAAACCAUGCAGUACUCCUAAAAUAGAUAAGCAGUCUGAGGAUAGUAAGAAUGAACGGGUUAGAUACGGUUAAUCGACGAUGCAAGGGUGGCGUGUUGAUUUUUAACAUUUAACAAGCAUAUACUUGAUUUUGAUAUGUUUUUGUUAACUGUGUUUACAUUAUUUUUUGAAACCAAAAAGAAAGUGUCGUUAGAUGGUUUUAUGUUGGUUUUUCGAUUGGAUUUUUGGUUGUGUAUUGUGCAUGUUGCAGUUGCUUAUCUUGACCCCACUACAUCUUUCUUUGGUGUAUAUGAUGGCCAUGGAGGUGUGUACUAAUAAUUCUAAACUUUUUCAAGUUCCCCGUUAGAUCGAAUUUUAGUUGUAUCUUAACAAAUACUGAAAUGUGUUUUAUGUUUUAAAGCUUUAAUGUUUAUGUUUGCUUUAAGUAAAGUUGUUGCUAAAUUUUGUACGAGAUCUUCAUCGACAAGUGGUCGCACGAAACGUAUUUUACUGGUGAUAUUGAAACAUCUCUACAAAAGAAUGGAUGAAAUUGAAUGGGGUUUCAUUUGGAUUCCAAGAGGACCAACAUCUGAAUUACUGGAUGUAUAGCGUGUGUUGCAACCGUGUCCGUGCGGCGGCGGUGGCGGAGACGCGGUGGCAACCGGCUACGUACACGGCUUCUUCAUUCAUUUCGCGACUCUCCAACAAAGGGGCUAUGUGAAUAUUGGUUCUCAUGCUUCAAAAAAAGUGUAUGUGAUCAGUUUUCGAGGUGUUUGUAUGUUGAGGAUCCUGUUCCUUGGUGGUGGUUGCAACAUUUCAAAGACAUAAAGCAAUAGGUCUCACGCCGCAACGCGCAGAGACAACUAACUUAGCGAACGCUUUGCCCCCCGGCGAAAAUCUAGUUUGUUUCUAAUCAGGAAAAUGCUCUUUGUCAUUGUUUGCUAGGGUCGUUCAAAUCGCUCGCCGCUCGUUGCUACGAGCUCGCUCGACGCUCGUUCGAAAAUUGCUCGGAAAAUGCUCGUUCAAUUUGACGCUCGGUUGUAAACGAGCCGCUCUGCUCGGUUCGGUUUGUAAACGAGCCAAGCAUGAGCAAAGGUCCGCUCGGCUCGGUUCGGCUCGAAUUAUUUAUUUUAAUUAGUAUACAUAUACAUAUACAUAUACAUAUACACAUACAUAUAUAAACAUGUAUAUACACAUACAUAUACACAAACAUAAAUUAUACAGAUAUACAUACACACA
This is a long non-coding RNA of Helianthus annuus (common sunflower), 2463 nucleotides long. RefSeq lists it as uncharacterized. The record is from RefSeq and is a predicted model, not a curated record. The transcript has 5 exons. Lineage: Eukaryota; Viridiplantae; Streptophyta; Magnoliopsida; Asterales; Asteraceae.